CUCCAACCCGGACCCCAGAAUGAACAGACAUGGUGCAGAUCUGAGCUGAACUCACAGCGAGAAACCGAGCACAGAGGGUCCCAUGGAGUGAAAUGGGGCCACCAGGUCAAGGCCACCCUAGAUCAGCUGAUUGGCAUCCAUGCUGCUGACCUAUGACCCUGAGAAUCAGUGCUUAUUCUGUAUCCAUCUUAAUUUGGGGAUGAUUUGUUUCCAAGCAUUGAUGAGGAAACAGCUGUCUAUGCAGCCACGAUUCUUACACCUCGUCGCCAGUGCCCCCUGCACUGCCCACCGGGUACUGAGUGAGGGGAAAGGAAGAGGUGGAGUUUAUUGACGGAAUUCAGGUUGUGGCUACAGAGUGGAAAGGUGCCUGUUGGACCAGUGAGAGGUCUCUGGGGAGUGGAAAGGUGAACUCGUGGCCAGAAAAGUGGUCUCUAGUCCAUUUGUGGUUGCUUGCCACUCUCCACAGGCUGAUUAGGAACAAAUAGAAAUUCCUAAAAGGAUUCCUGGAAUCCCUGGGUGUGGUUCCACAGGUGAAAUACGCUAGGAAGGAAUUUUCCCCAGGUGAGGGGGUGUAGCUCAUGGGUAGAGCAUUGGACUGCAGAUCAAGAGUUCCCCGGGUCAAAUCUUUCUUAGGGUCUGUGGCCUUUUAAGAAGGCCUCCUAUGUCCUUACUGUGAGAUGAAAGUCGGCCAGGGAACCAGGCACAUGCAGAGCUGGGCUCUGGCGCCGUGGGGCAGAGGUAAACAGAGAUGUCUGACCACACACCAGGGCCCCUUGCUCCCAGGCUGGGGGCCCCCAAGCAGCCUGUAUGCCUCGUUAGCGCCCUCGGUGGUGCUGCCCCAAGGAUUCCGGGGCUGCUGCCUCUCGGGUGCUGUCUCCCCUGGGAGAACAGUGUGAGAUGUGAAGCCAGGAGGAAAGCCAGGUGGGAGGAGGCUGGGGAGGAGGAGACAGUGUAGGUGGAGCUGAGGGAGGAGGGGAGCAAGGAUCAGGGCGCCCGGCUUCCAGCUCUAACAGCCCAGUUCAGGCUAUGGCUACACAGGAGAGUGCCUGGUAGACAAGUGAGGGGCCUCUGAGGAAUGACGAGGCGAACUCAUGGCCAGUGAGUGGUCUCCAGUCAGUGUGUGGUGGCUUUGCCCGUUCCAGAGGUGGCCCAAGUAGGACUAGAACUUAGAGUCCACUAUGGAAUCUGGGGCAUGGCAACACAGGUGAAAUAAUGUCAGGAGGGGCCCCCAGCAGGCCAGGGGGCAUGGCUCAAGGGUAGAGCACUAGGCUACAGGUCCAGAUGUCCCCAGUUCAACCCUGGCUGUGUUUUUUUGUAUUGCCACAUACAGGAAAGGAAUAGGAAUGUUUCGAAGUGAACACAGAGGCCAAAGGGAGAGAAAGCCUGGAGGGAGACCACCAAGUGGCUAGUGACUAGCUGAACUUUUCUCCUAGGAAGAAAUUUGAUUCUAAGCUAUAAAUUUGGAUGUAUAGGUGUCAAAAUAUUAACAUUUGUUUAGCUGAUGACAUUACAGUGACCAUAAAUCUCCCUCAUUCCCCGUUCAUCACUUUUCCAUGGAUUGCAUCUUCUCUUCAGGAUACUUCUUCCGUCUGUCAUAUGGAAAGAUGAAGCAAAAGGAGAAAAUGGGGGAAGAAGAGGAGAAAUAAAGGGGGCAGCUCCUCUCCUCUCCUGCCCAGAGUGUUUAGUGCAAAGAGGCCUCAAUCAUAAACGUGGAUUCUAGUCAUGAACCUGGUCAUUAAUCAGGUGUGUUUUGUUUGGGCAUGAUUUUAAUUACUGUCACUUUUUCAGAUCUAUACCAUGAAGGGCACAGAUUAAAUUAAUACCUCCAAAACUGUCUGUGAGUCAAAAUCACCAGGAGCUUGUUAGAAGCAUGCAUUGUCCCUGUCACCUUCCCAGAGAGUCUGGCUUAGGGGUUCUCAGGUGGGGCCCAAGAACUUUCACUUUUCCCAGCCCUGCCCACCCCCUCCUCACCUCAAAGGGUCUGUUGAGCAGCCAGUUCUGAGUCCUGCUCUUCUAGGUGAGUCUGAAGAAUGUUCUAGCUGCAAACCUUCAUGAUUUCAAUGACAGGCCUUCACCCGGGGCUGAGGGAAGGAAGGAUGCUGGUUAUAAGUAGAGGUGGCAGUCAAGUGUGUACAGAUCCGGGGAUAGGGGCUGGCAUAGUAGAAAGGACAUCAAUUUGCAGGGGUGUGUGAUGGCAGAGCACUAGCAAGAACACAUCUCAAGAUGGUGCCAGCCAGGGUGUGGCUCUACAGGUUUAGGGUGUUUAUUAGACACAAGUGAGCAGGUGGGGGUAUAGCUCAGGGGUAGAGCAUUUGACUGCAGAUCAAGAGGUCCCUGGUUCAAAUCCAGGUGCCCCCUAACAUGUCUGCUUUUAUCCCCUAUAACAGCUGUUGCCCCCCCAACAUUGAACCCUCUAUGAGGAGGGAAGAGAGAAGAGGUGGGCCAGGACCUGAGGGGUUCACUCUGUGUUUCUCACAGACCCAAGUGAACUCCAUCACCCAACCCCAGUGUGAUAGUCAGCCCCUCUCUUUUGGCUUCAAGUGGAAAUAUGUAUUAUUCUUUGACUUCCCAGCACCCGAACCUUCUUCGUUUAUUUCAGCAAUCCCAAAUAGUGUGAGUCUCUGGAAAGCACAGCUCUGCAACCUGCUAUACCAAACAAAUGUGCCAAAUACUGCUGCCCCAUGACUGCUGGCCAAGGGCCCAGCUCAGACUUGUGGAGUGAGCGAAAUACAGAAGCAGGAGACCGACUGUACUUCAUUUCAGGGAGGCAGAGCUCCAGCCUCUGAUGCAGGGCUGGUGGCUCAUCCAGUGUCCAGCGGGGGCAGCAGAGGCUCCUGCCCUGGCUGUGAUUCUGGCCAUGGGCUCUCCCACCCUCCCUCCGGUGCCAUGGGCUCCUGAUGGCCUGUCAGCCGUGGUCCCAUCUGUUUCUGUUAGACAGAGGCAGGUAGUCACAUGCACACACCUGUGUGCUGUGGCUAGUAUAGUAAUUGCUACCAGGAGUGAAUUGCAAGCAAGAGCUCCUCAUAGAAAUGGGAGUGUGUGGGAGGUGGGGUUAAUUGUCAGACCUAGUUUUACUAAGUCAGUAGAAGUCCAGGUCGCCCUUCCUCGAUGGGAGUCUAGCAGACCAGGGUUCCUGGAAGCUAAAUAAAUUGCUGCCUGUGGUCAGCUGAAAUGGAGUGCCCAGUGAGAGCAAGACGGCCGGUUACUGCUGCCUUAAGACGGGAUGAGAAGCUGCAGGGGCGGGGGCUGAUUCUAACACACCAGAAAUGACUAGAUCAAAGUCCAGCUUCUUCAUUCAAUGCACAGUAGGGCACACGGGGCUUUCAAUGACCGUGCUGAGAGAAUCUAAGGCACCAUGCGACAAAACGUAAUGCCAGAGGCAAAAUGUGAUCCUGCAGUUGCUAAAUUCAGUGCCUCCCUGGUCUCUUGCAUGAAAGUUGGGGUAUUUCUCAGAGAACAGUACUCCAAAAGUUGUACAGGAGAUUUAUGAGAGGAAGUGGAGAAAUCAAUACGAAGAUCCAAACAAAUGCCAAAGGCCACCAGAUCCCCAUUGCAGCUGAAGCAGCCUCUCUCAUCACGACAGACAGAGCUGCUCACAGUGUCCCUCACCCUGGCCCCACCCGCCAAAUGCAGAAGCUGCCCACUCGUGAUAACUGAAAACACCUAGGGGUCUUUCCAACCUAUCAUAAUCCUUGUGCUACAGAUUGAAAUCCACCCGGCCUGUGGCUCCCAGAGGGGACAGUGCGGGGCCUCCUGCAGAUCUGUCUUUGUAUGGGAGAUGUGGGUGUGUUCGGACUUCUCUGGGCCGCGGCUCAGCCCGCAGAGGGAGACGGUCCCCAUCCCAGGUCAGAAGCCCCUUUGGGUUUUGGUUCCCAAACAGGCAGCUUUAAGCCCAAUCCCUGCCCCUCCAGUUGUGCUGACCCCUGAUAUGAGGCAUCAGGGGUCAGUGCACCUACCUUGAUGCCUUGAUGAUCCAGGCAGGUGGGGCUGCUCACCGGGAGGAUGGCUUCAGCCUUUCUGGCCAAAUGCCUCCCCUGGUCUCAGCUCACAGAUUUGGCCUUGGGAUGAAGAGGAGGAAAAGGUAGAAGAUGGAAAAGAAAGCAAAGUCCAGGCUGUGGUCUAAAGGAUGAGGGUGGGGAGAACUGGGGAGAUUUUAGAACAAACAGGCUGGGGAGGAAGUGGAGGAAGGAAAGAAGCGGAGGGGAGGGGUCCAGUGAGAAGAAAGCGCACCAGCCAGAGACAGGAGAAGGGAAGGUGCCGGGCAGGGCAAAGGAGGCCUCUGGUCACUCACAUGAGGGGUCAGUGGGAAAGGGGAGAGAGCUUAUGACUAGGAGAGGGUGAGUCAGGCAGGACAUGGGGCUGACCAGGGAUAAACAGAAAUGAAUGGGUUAUGGAGGGUCUCUCCCUGGGGAGGUCACCACCAUGAAAUGGUAUCAAUUAGGAGACAGUUUGAAGUGGACUCCUGGCUCAGGGGAAGAGAGCUGACUGUUGGUCAAGAGGUGCGUGGUUCAGAUUCCCAUGCCCCUGUGAGCUUAUCUCAUUUAGUACUAGAUGUAGGGUGGAAAUCAUUCUGGUCAUUUCCGGGGAAGAUCUGUCUCAUCUGACCCAGUGAGGGCUCAGCUAUGGGAAGCAGGUAAAGGCAGUAGGCCAGUUCGUGUCUUGCCCCAAUGUUGCGGGGGUGGAAGGAACCCAAGACCAGCCAUGUGGGAUCUGGUCCAAACCCUAUUAUUAAUCAGGUGUGCUUGGGCAUGUUUCUUAAUUAUGGCCUCUUUUCAAGCCUACAACAUGGAGCACCAAACUAAAUCAGUGGUUCCUAAUUCUGACAUUCCAUGGGGAUCAUCCAGUGAGCUUCUUAAAAAUAGUCUCUUGGCCCCCCUCCCAAGUAUUCUGAUUCGGGAGGUCUGACAGGAAUCCUAUGAACUUUAUUUCCGUGGAAACUCACUCCCUGCUCUCACCACCUCACACACCAGAUGCUGUGAUGGGCAGCCCAGCUGGGGAACCAUGGCUUCAAUUUAGUCCAAAGGCCUUCCACUGACACAGCCAUAGCUUUUACACAGAUGUCCUUGGCUGUGGAUUGUUGGGGGUAGGCAGAGGAUUGUGCAGAAGGCGAUGGUGAGCAGGAAUGCCGUCCGUCUUCAGUAGAGCAGGUCUUGUGGAUUGACUAGACGUAGCUCAGUGUUCUGAAGGAGUUUCAGGUGUAAUCACAGAGGUCAGAGGUCUUCAUUAGACAAUCAUAAUGAGAUGAGCUUUUAAGGACAGAUGCUCCUUACCUGUUCUUAUUCUUACCCACUGAUUUUCCAGCUUCCUUUUCCUCUCUGGAACCCAUGAUUCUGCACUGAGGAGAGAGAGAAAAGAGGUGAGGAGGAUCAGGCCAGCCCUCUGGGAAGCCCCAGGUGACUUCCUCCACCACCUUCUCCACUCUCUCACUCCUUGACGUUAGUCCUACAAAGCCAACCAGAAUCCUGCUCUUCCCCAGGCCCUCGUCAGGGCAGGGCUGGAUGUGGCUCUGUGAGUCUGGAGUAGGCCCCUGUGGGACCUCUAGGACCUGAGGGCAUGGAGCCUUAGGCUAGGGCCCCUGACCCACAGCCCAGCAUGCUGAGCUCAGGAAGCUAGGCAGCUACUCCACUGUAGGGGUACAUGAUACUCCUGUUGCUUCAACUACUCCAGUGUUAUGUAGCCCAUGUGGGGUGCUUGGAGCAAACAGCAGGAGAUGGAGACAUACUCAGCCCUCUCUCUGGGAAUCAAAUGGAUCUGAGAUUCGAGCUCCUGUAAACAGGGAAAUCUCAGGCUGGAGCUGAGUGAGACCCACGAGGACUGGGGGCAGGGAUCUGUGCCUUGUAAACUUCAAUGUGGUACAAUUCACCUGAGGGAGCGUCUCUAAAUGCAGAAUGUGUCUGCACUUUCUGAGGAGUUGUGGGUCAAAGAGCUUGAUCUGCUUCAUCUUCUUCCUGUGUCGUGGCCUGGGGGAACCGGUGAUACAGCACCCACUUGGGGAUUAAGUGGACUAAAAGUGAGGCAAAGCAGGGGGCACCCGGAUUUGAACCGGGGACCUCUUGAUCUGCAGUCAAAUGCUCUACCCCUGAGCUAUACCCCCUGACCUGGAAGGGGGGGCAUAAUUAACACCUUUUACCUGUGUUGACACACCAGGACUCAGUCUUGCUGGUUGGGACGUCCUGGCCUGUUCUACUUCUCUGAGCUCUGUCCUCUCUCCUGCUGUGAACCAGCCCUGCCUCUUCCCCUGUCUCUUCUAUGUGCACCUGACUGAGGACCCCCUGGUAGCCUUCUUGACCUUUACAGGUAGGGAGAUCUUUAAAAUCAUCCAGAUAAUGCUCUUCAACAAUAGCAGAUAUUGAGCAUCUACUGUAUGUCGAGCACACUGGGACGGUGACAUAACUGUGACUGACCAGUGGCCGUGCCUUCCCUUGUGCUGAAAGAAGGUUCAGAGCUCACAUCUGAAGAUUAUUUGAUGAGAUAGAAUCAUGUUCAUGAUAAUUCAUCAAGUGAAAAGGAAGAUGACAAAACAGUGUGCCUGGGAGGGAUUAUAGAUGAUUUCAGCUUUUUAAUGUGCUCUUAUUUAUCUUUCAACUUUUCCAUCUUGGGCAUUUGUAAAAAAAAGAAAGCCUUGUAAAAAAAAAAAAAAAAAAAGCCUUUUUUUGUAAAAAGGCUUUUGUAAGAAAAAAUGAUGCUUAAGAAAAAUUAUACCCUAGAAGAGAUCCACUUCUAGGAAUGUAUCCUUCAGAAAUACUCAUAUGAGUUCACGAAGACACGUGUAUGUGGAGGCUCAUUGUAGCCAUUUUUUUUGUGUUAGCAAUAAACUGGAAAGCACCUAAAUAUCCAUGGACAGGGACUAGGUGACAAACAUGAUGGUACAGUCAUUGCACGGGAUAUGGUACAACAGUAAAAGGUAAAAUAGGUCCAGAGUCCUCGCAUGGAAAGACGCUUAAACAAUACCAUUAAGUGAAAAAAAUAAAUUGCGUGACAUUCAUAUGGUGUAAGCUCAUUUGGGCUUUUAAAAAGAUACGACAUAUACAUAUUAUUAUAUAUAUACACACAUUCAAAGAUAUUUAUAUAUAACCAUAUCUUUAUACAUGUGUACGAGUAUAUAUAUAAAUUCUCUUACGGAAGGAAAUAAGCCAAAUAGUUACUCCCAGGGCAUGGGUUGGGGGUUCUUUUAUUUUCCAGUUUAUACUGGAAAAGUGUCUACACUGUGUCCAGGUGUCUACAGUUACUGAGUGGUUAAAAAUGAGUGAGAGAAAGCACUACACGUAGCCUCCAGGAAGUCUUCCUGCCUUCCAGCCACAGUCAUCGUGAUUCCACCCUCUUCCUCAGAUCCCAAACAGGCAGCUCCCAAUCCGGAACCCCCCUGGCCUUUCUUUCAUCCCUUGCCUCUGCCGCGUGAGUUUCAGGCAAUUCUCAUUUCUGCUGGUUCUCAGCCCCCUCCCCUCUGAUGUUGUCACUUUGAGGUUUCACACGCCGGUUGUCCACAGUACACCCAGCUAGAUGGCAUGAUGUCCUUGGUUGGUCUGAGGGCAAAGGACACCCAUGCAGUGGGCCAGGGGCAAUCCCCUGCCUGUGACUUAUAGCCAGCACCACCCAGGCCCUGAGGCACCUCACCCCUGUCCCCUCAGCCACACCUGAGGUGAGUCAUACUCCUGCCCUCUUCCACGCCUGCCUUCUCCACCCUGACCUCCUAUGGGUUCCCCAGAAGCCUCUGUCUCUGAGGAACUGGUGCCAACGGUGGAGUAGGGCACACCUGAGGAGCACACAGACUGUGGGAGUCUGUGAAAAUAGUGGGAGGCACGCUCACCUCAAGCCAGCUGAGGCUCGCAAUAAAGUCGAAGCGAUGAUGACAGCUUUUAAAGGCAGAGGGGGGUUUUUAUAUUCCUACUUGGAGCAAGACAAUCAAGGAAAGGAUAGGCCCCCGCUCAGCACGCAAUCAUACACACGGCAGGAGAACUGACAAGCCCCCUUCCCUUAAGAGGGAGAUGGCCGGACUGGGUUGUGGGGGGAGUCCCGAGAAAGAGGCGAGCUCAGUGGAGGAGGAAACCGAAGUCCCCUAUGCCUGAAAUGGACCUACAGACCCCCAGCACUAGCGAGCCCCCGUUUUCUCAGUCAGGAUUUCGGCUGUACCAGCCCUAAAAAAGUCAGUGACUGUCCUUAGGGGGUGGCUUCCUUUAUGGAGUCCACCAAUGGAAGUAGCCACCGGCCUGCAGCUCUUGUUGGAGAGAAUAUCAACAAGGAGUCAACGGGACCGCCCUUGGCCACCCUGGCCAGAGUCUGGGCCCAUCCUCCUUUCUUAUCUCCUGCAUUAUAAUUCCCUUAUGAAACUGCCCUAACCUUUCAGUGAGGAAAACAGCAUAAACUACCCAACCUAAUGUGCUCAUCGUAGGGAGACUAAAGGGUUGACGUAACAGUAGUUGGGGUAGGUUCCCACUGAAAGGGCACCUGCAUGCUGAGGGCUGCAAGUGGAACCCCGGGCAUGACUGACCAUGCCAGAGCAGAACAUGGCUCAUAGCAAGACCAGAGGCAGUAACAAAGACCCAAGAGGCCGGGAAAGCAAGAGGAUGGACCCAAGGAAGUCAGUCAGGCAGAUUUGCUGCUCUCCCUGCCCCACCUCCAGAGGCUGGAAUCCUGCCCUCCGCAAGGGAAGAGGAGGGGCUGGCAAACAUCUUUUCUGAUGGCAAAUUCUACCUUAUAAAGGAGAACUUGUCUCCUGGGAGGAGGCAUGCACUAAAGACUGGCUCCUGGUGUCCCAACUUGGCAGUCUAGAACAUGCCAAGAAACUAUCUAGAACUAUCUAGAUACUAUCUAUAUAGAGAAUAUCUAGGACUAUCUUCUCUCAGGGAGGCUGGAAAGGGGUUGGGAAAAUUAAACCCAUACCGGGCCCAUGUGGAGGCAGCACCAGAGGAGACCACAGUGAGCGAUGAGAGUGUGGUGAAUGGGGGGUCAUAUCCCCUGCUCCUCUCACUGUGCAGAAGCCUAAGCUGGGCAAAGCAGCUGAAUUCUGGCACCAGCUUCUGCAGCUAAAAUGGACAGGAGGUGCCCUGGAAAAAGCAGGCAAUGUGUCCUCGACCCCCAUGAGAGGGAAUUUUGCACAUCAGCCCCAGUGGGACACACACGACUUUUGUCUAUUAGCUGCACAGUAUUUUUUCUUACCAGUAUGUCGUAAAAUGACUCAAACAUCACUUCCUGAAGGAAAAUUUCCCUGCCUCCUGAAAUAGCUUAGAUAUCCCAGUGAUACGUUCUUAUAGUAUCACUGCGUCUUAUCCAACAUUUCUCCUAAUUUUCAGUUUUUUCAUUUUUUUGAAUAUUUUUAACUAUCUACCUACCCCUCUAGUUUCCUGAGACCGUGUCUAUUUUACUCGUCAUUGGGCUAGAUCAUGUAAGGACGUCAGCUUUUGCUCUGAAUGAGAUGGGAAGCUGUUUGGGGAUUUUGAGCAGAGGAAUGACAUAAGCUGGUUUCCUCCUCUGGCUGCUGUGGGGAGACUAGAGGGCAGGGAUGGAAGCAAGCAUAUAAGUUUAAGAAGUUAUUGCAAUAAUCUAAGUAAGAGACGAUUGUGGCUUUGUCUAGUGCAGUAACGGUGGAGGGGAUGAGAAGUGCUCAGAUUCUGGAUGAAUUCUGAAGUAGUGUGAACAGGAUUUGCCAAUGAUAUGAAUGCAGGGUGUGAGAGAAAGAGAAAAAUCGAGGAUAAGACCAAGGAUUUCAGCCCGAGCAGCUAGUAGAACAGAGUUACCAUUCUACUGGCCGGGAGACGGUAGCUAGUGGGAGAUGGCAGCAGAAAUGAAAUUUGAGCAGGUAAUGGAAAUCAGGAGUUCAAUUUGGGGCGUACUAAGUUGGAGCCUUCUGUUAAAUGGCCAAGUGGAGAUGUCGAAAUGAAGCUGGAGUUGAAAGAGGAGGUCCUAGCGCAGGACAUAAAUUUGGGGGUCAUCUGCCAAUUAAACCCAUGGGACUGAACGAGAUCACUGAGCAAAUGUGAGUAGAAAAGAGAAGAGGUCUGGGGACCAAGUCGUGGGCCCUUGAAUGUUUAGAAGUUGGAAUGUUGAGGAGGAAACAGCAAAAGAAACUGAGAAAAAGUGGCAGUCAGGUAUGAAGAAAACAAAACAAAUAAAAACAGUGACAGUUGAAAGUCAAUGGAAAAAAGUGCUCCUGAGAGAUUGAGUCUAAGACUGAGAAUCAGCGUGACAGAUGGUCAUGGUGACUUUGACAAGAGCAGUGAAGUGGAGCAUACGGAGGGAAGGGGGUUGGGCAGAGAAUGGGGUUCUCCUAGGAAGCCUUCCUUCAUCCUCCUGAUGGGUGGGUCCCCUGCCAUGUGCUCCUGUGGCACCCUGUACUUGUAUCAUAGCACACAUCAUACUUUCCAUAAUCACUGCAACCUUGUGCCUGCAGGAUUCCUUGCAUACAGUGAGGGGCCAGUAAAUAUAUGAAUGUGUAAAAAUGUGUGAACCAAAAAGAGAGGAUAUAAUUGAUGGAAUAAGAUCCCAAGGAGAGCAGAGGGGUGGAUCAAGAACACGGGAUUUGCUCUAAACAGGAGGAGAAAGACUUGUUUUCUCUUAGGCUGGAGGGGAUGAGAGCAGGUGCUGAGUGACCUCACACCAUACGGCUGUGGUCUUCACAGUCAAGUAGAAAACAAGGUUUUCUAAAGAGAAUAAAGGAGGCAGGGUGGCACUCAUUGAUACUGACCCUGAUAUCGGUUCCCCCACGUUAAACCCAACAUAUGUGGAGUUAAAACCAAAACACUCAUUCCCUGCUUACUCCCUGGCUUCCUGGCUCCAGAAUCCACUAUUCCCCUUGGAGACAGACACCACCAAGGACAAGGACCUGGAUUCAUUAUCUCCUCCCC
Non-coding RNA from Equus caballus (horse), 10841 nucleotides. The record is from RefSeq and is a predicted model, not a curated record. NCBI's taxonomy places the organism in Eukaryota, Metazoa, Chordata, Mammalia, Perissodactyla, Equidae.